UCCGUUGUAUUCUAGUUGGUUAGGAUACUCAGCUCUCACCCGAGAGACAUGGGUCCGAGUUCCGGCAACGGAA
This 73-nucleotide transfer RNA is filed under the name Nelumbo nucifera (sacred lotus). It matches the Rfam family "tRNA". From Rfam's summary of the family: Transfer RNA (tRNA) molecules are approximately 80 nucleotides in length. Their secondary structure includes four short double-helical elements and three loops (D, anti-codon, and T loops). The record is from Rfam by way of RNAcentral. Lineage: Eukaryota; Viridiplantae; Streptophyta; Magnoliopsida; Proteales; Nelumbonaceae.